Python bivittatus (Burmese python) is the source of this 1746-nucleotide non-coding RNA. The record is from RefSeq and is a predicted model, not a curated record. NCBI's taxonomy places the organism in Eukaryota, Metazoa, Chordata, Lepidosauria, Squamata, Pythonidae.
CCCCGCCCCCGCUUUGACAAACGGAAACUCCAGGCGACCCAGCGGCUCCGCCCCCAUUCCAUUCGAAGGGAAAGAACAGAGGAAGAGCCUUUUAGUCACAGCCCCUGUGGCGUCACCGCUCUAAGAAGGGAGGGUGUUGCCUCUCGGCGCGCAUGCGCCACCUGGGAAGGGCGGGUGGCUUGGAUUCGCGUGUUAUUCUUUUGUUUGUUUAAAUUAAUUCGGGUUGCUCCUGUUGGUUUCCGGGUUCAGGGAAAGCCACCUGUCCUGGAUUGCGAGUUAAAGCCUCUUCUUUCCCUAAUCUGGUGGCCUCCAAGCGUGCCCGUCCGCAGGGUUUUUUAAUUGGCUCCCUGGAAGGUCCUGUGGGUCGUGCGAACCCAGACAACGAGUAAUUUCUGGAACAGAUCGGGAAACCAGUCCUAAGUAGCCUGGGGGAGGCAUGGAAUGUGCCUUUGGCCCAACUGAGUGUACUUCUUCAUAUCGCUAUGAAGCCAAGGUCCUGGAUUUCCCUGACAUUAUUAGUGGAUACAGUUCUAUGAAAAAGUAUUUGCCCCCCUUUGGAUUUUCAGUAUUUUUGUACAUCUCUGCUGUGGAAUGUUAUCAGAGCUUCAUGUAGAAAAAGCACCUGAAUAAACAAAUGACACAUGUUCUUCAAGAAGUACAGAGUUUCAACUCUGAGAAGAAAGCCAAUGAGUUAUUUCGCAAAUCAUCAGUUGCAAAACCAUUGGUUGCAAACCACUGAUUCCAAAUUGUGGAGAAAGUGGAGCACUGUUCCAGUAAAAAGUCUACAGCUUCCCUGCCUUCUCAUGUAUCAGUUCAAGUCCAAGUGAUGAUAUCAUGAGGAACACCUCCCAUGGGGCUUUUUCAGCUGAAUAAGUGGGGCAGCCAAGGAGACUGCAGAAUGAUUGACAGAUGGGCAACAGAAACUUGGCAAGAUCCACACCCUCCAUCACUUCUCAACAAUAACAUUCAAAAAGUCAAACUCUAAAGAAUGAAGUAAUAAAAAAGGAGAUCUCUUUUGUGGAAGAAGAAAACUGGGUGACGGAUUUUUGACCCAAUUUUAAUAUGUAUUGUAUUCCUCUAAGAACACCAUAUCGCAAUCUCCCAUUCUUACAACAGGCACAAACAACACUGAAGCAAAAUGUAUUCCAUGAAUAACAUUGCAGAAAUGCUUUUCAACAUUGGCUUCUGUUGAACUCAGUGCAGGAGUGUUAAAUAUGUCCUGUGCCCAAGGCAUAAAAACUGGAAAUAGCAAGCAGGUGUUUUCUUUAUGCUAAGCCUCCCUCAUCCUGGCAACUUCCAAUGGUAUGAUGACCAACUGCUUGCUGGAGAUUCUGGGAAUUGCAGUCCUGACAUAUCUGGAGGUUACAAGAAUGGCAAACAGUGGUCUAGGAUGUGUUUACCAGUUAUGAGGGGAAGAAUGAAAUUGAGAGCCACAGCAGGAAAAACAAGGAGAGAAAGGUUAUCCAAUGGGAUUGUGACUAAAAUAGCUGGGACAUUAAAGAGCGUCUUUCCUGCCAACACAGAUGACAUCAGCAUAAAAGCAACAACAGCUGGAUUUGUUGGCCACUUGAAAAUCCAUUAACCAGAGGUUCAUUUAAUAUUUUAAGAAUGCUCUGGAUUUUAUUCUUUAUGCUGGUUUAUGCUGUGAUUAUUAUGUAUUCUUUAGAUUUUGUUUUUGAUGGCUUGUCUAUUUGCCAUUUGGUUUUUAUCUUAACUGCUUGCAAUACUCUAAUAAUUUUAUGUUUG